UAUUAUUAUUAUUAUUAUUAUAUUUAUGAUGAUAAAUCUUGAGGACUACUUAAGGUAUCAAUAAUAUAGUAUCAGCAGUAGGACACGAACAAAUCGAUCGAGAACUCAAGGAUCUGCUGACUGGCGCAAGAUCGCUUCUAAUCACGCUAGUGCAUGAAAUGAAUGCAGUGACCUCCAAUUGAGAACAAGGACAAUUAUUCUAGAUUUAUUUCUUUUACCUGGGAGCUGGGCGGCGACAGCGGCUCGAGGAUCACGUUCUUCUUCUUUAAAGAGCCGAAGUAGGGGGCGCCUCCUCCCGGCUUUCCCCAGGGAGAGUAAGUUGACUGCAAGUGACGGAGCUGGAAAUAUUCAUUUGAUAAAAUAAUUUGACGAAAUUUUGCGAAAAACAAGAUCGAUGUAUCAAGGAUGAAUGAUAGAGUUAUCCUGACGGUAGUUUCCCGCCGGAAAUCCCCCAUUAAUCGGGAUAAAUUCAGUAUAUGUCCAUAAAUGUACAUAAAUAUAUCUGUACAUAAAUAUCGAGCGAUUUGUAUGGUAAUUCAGUAUCAGUAUUAUCACAGUACACAAAGGCAUUACGUUCAUCAAAUCGAGAGUUAAACAAUCCGACAAUCCUGUCUUAAUCUUCAGGAAUAAAUUUAUAUACAUAUAUAUAUAUAUAUAUAUAUAUAUAUAUAUAUAUAUAUAUAUAUAUAUAUAUAUAUAUAAAAUAUAAAUUCUGUCGCGAGCUUCCACUAGCCGGGGGUAAAAUCUGUCUUUAAGUAGUUUUCGAGAUUAUGCUAAUUUAUAUGCUUGUAUAGGAGAAUAUAGAGUCUAUGAGUGGCAAGAGUUGUUGAAGCGCAGAAGGUAAUAUCUGGAAAGUUGAGACUUUGGUUACACACCCAAAGGUAGGCAACUGUAAGGGUAAUAAUAAUAGUAAUAGUAAUAUCUAUUUGAAUGAAUGAAUAGAUAACUUUGAGAGAGAAGAGAAGGGAAGGGACGGGGAAGUAAUACUAUUUAUUAAAUAACGCUAAGUCCUUUAUGGGCUACUGAGAUACCGGAUAACUUGGCUAAUUAAUUACAAAACUUAACGAAUCAUAUUGUUUGAGUUUAUAGUGUUAAGUGUUAUUAAAUUCUGAUUAAUAUUUUAAUAACAGA
Long non-coding RNA from Cotesia glomerata, 1131 nucleotides. RefSeq lists it as uncharacterized. The transcript is spliced from 3 exons. The record is from RefSeq and is a predicted model, not a curated record. Lineage: Eukaryota; Metazoa; Arthropoda; Insecta; Hymenoptera; Braconidae.